This 371-nucleotide ribosomal RNA is filed under the name Enterobacter sp. DJM4C12. RNAcentral describes it as "bacterial SSU rRNA". It matches the Rfam family "Bacterial small subunit ribosomal RNA", at positions 845 to 1227 of the family's 1533-position model. Lineage: Bacteria; Pseudomonadati; Pseudomonadota; Gammaproteobacteria; Enterobacterales; Enterobacteriaceae. The record is from RNAcentral.
UCCGGAGCUAACGCGUUAAGUCGACCGCCUGGGGAGUACGGCCGCAAGGUUAAAACUCAAAUGAAUUGACGGGGGCCCGCACAAGCGGGGAGCAUGUGGUUUAAUUCGAUGCAACGGAAGAACCUUACCUACUCUUGACAUCCAGAGAACUUAGCAGAGAUGCUUUGGUGCCUUCGGGAACUCUGAGACAGGUGCUGCAUGGCUGUCGUCAGCUCGUGUUGUGAAAUGUUGGGUUAAGUCCCGCAACGAGCGCAACCCUUAUCCUUUGUUGCCAGCGUUAGGCCGGGAACUCAAAGGAGACUGCCAGUGAUAAACUGAGGAAGUGGGGUGACGCAAGCAUCAUGGCCUUACGAGAGGCUACACACGUGCUA